AGAAGUUAGUUUAUUUUAGUAUACACACGAUCGUUGGCAACUCCAGCAGGGCGCGAAAUUUAAAAGUGUCCAUUGCUUAUAUUUUUGAUUUAUUCUAAUUCAUAGUUCCGGCAUAUCAUUGCAUAAGUGUGUGCCAGUUUAAACAGCAUAUUUAUUUAGUUCUGAGUUUAUAAAAUCAAAUAGAAAUACAAUUUUUUUAAAUUAUAAAAUAUGCUUUGAUAGGGAUUAAACUUCUUUGCAAUGUUAACAAAGUCACAUAUUUAGUUGAACGGCGCAUUAAAAAACUUUGAAAACAGUCCUGAAUACGCUUGAUACGCGUAGGCCAAAAUCAAGAAACUUUAGGAACAAAUGAAAGAAAGAAACCAGUCUGAAAAAAUGAGUUCCCCGAAAAUAAAAGUAGCAGAUUUCAACAGCACCAAAAUUCAUUCGCAGCGAAAAACAUAUACCCCGCUUAGGGUUCGUUGCGACAUAUGAUGGAAAUGCGACGCGUCUUGGGCACCAGCGUACCCCGAAACUGGGAGUGCUCCUUGGACAGUAUCUCGUGCGUGAAGUUGUAGCGAGCCGUGUGGCUCAUUAUGUACAAGGAGCGGCGUGGCAGCAGGAUGUCAGCGUAAAAGUUGUUCUUCAGAGGCGCCUCCGGACUUACUCGCGUGCUAUCCACAUGGGGCUUGAUUACGCCAUCGGGCGCAAGAUCCAGGAUGUGGACAUAGGGCAUAAUUGCUCCAUCGAAGGCGACUUGGCGCACGCGCUCCAGGACCUCUCUGUUUUUGGGGAACCACUUCUUCCGCUCCGUCUCCCGAAAACCGUGAAUGGCCUGCAAGAUGGCUGUUAUCAUCCAUGUAAACAUAUUCGUGAUCUUAUCCCACAUCGUCCCAGUGAUCGAACUCGUAGCGCAGGCGGCUCAUAUAGGGUUCGAUUUCCUCGUGAAGCUGCUGUUCCUCUGGCUCACUAA
Long non-coding RNA from Drosophila yakuba, 952 nucleotides. RefSeq lists it as uncharacterized. Lineage: Eukaryota; Metazoa; Arthropoda; Insecta; Diptera; Drosophilidae. The transcript is spliced from 2 exons. The record is from RefSeq and is a predicted model, not a curated record.